Molecule: unclassified non-coding RNA, 255 nt
Filed under: uncultured Rhizopogon
Lineage: Eukaryota; Fungi; Basidiomycota; Agaricomycetes; Boletales; Rhizopogonaceae
Description: sequence contains ITS2
Source: RNAcentral
UAAUUUCUCAACCCCUCUUGAUUAGCUUCGAGGGGGAGUUUGGAUAGUGGGGGUUUGCAGGAAACUUGGGCUUUGGCUUUCUAGUUAAAGUCUAGGAUUCGGGCUCUCCUGAAAUACAUUGGCUUUCGGUCGACUUUCGACUUUGCGUGACAAGGCUUUCGGCGUGAUAAUGAUCGCCGUGUGCUGAAGCGCAUGACUGUAAGGUUCCGUGCCUCUAAUAUGUCGACCAACUCAGUUGGUCUUCCUUAAUUGACU